RNAcentral lists this ribosomal RNA (253 nucleotides) under uncultured bacterium. Its description in RNAcentral is "partial 16S ribosomal RNA". It matches the Rfam family "Bacterial small subunit ribosomal RNA", at positions 524 to 776 of the family's 1533-position model. The record is from RNAcentral.
UACAGAAGGUGCAAGCGUUAAUCGGAAUUACUGGGCGUAAAGCGCAUGUAGGCGGGUAUUUAAGUCGAUUGUGAAAGCCCUGGGCUCAACCUAGGAACUGCAGUCGAUACUGGAUACCUAGAGUAUGGUAGAGGACAGUGGAAUUCCCGGUGUAGCGGUGAAAUGCAUAGAUAUCGGGAGGAACACCAGUGGCGAAGGCGACUGUCUGGAUUAAUACUGACGCUGAGAUGCGAAAGCGUGGGGAGCAAACAGG